UGAGGAAUCUUGCGCAAUGGGCGGAAGCCUGACGCAGCGACGCCGCGUGGGGGAUGAAGGCCUUCGGGUCGUAAACCCCUUUCGGCGGGGAUGAAGCCGCCGGGCGACCGGCGGUGACCGUACCCGCAGAAGAAGCGCCGGCCAACUACGUGCCAGCAGCCGCGGUAACACGUAGGGCGCGAGCGUUGUCCGGAAUCACUGGGCGUAAAGGGCUCGCAGGCGGCCUGUCGCGUCGGCCGUGAAAGCCCGGGGCUCAACCUCGGAGGCGCGGUCGAUACGGGCAGGCUAGAGGGCGGUAGAGGGGAGUGGAACUCCCGGUGUAGCGGUGAAAUGCGCAGAUAUCGGGAGGAACACCGGUGGCGAAGGCGGCUCCCUGGACCGUACCUGACGCUGAGGAGCGAAAGCGUGGGGAGCGAACAGGAUUAGAUACCC
RNAcentral lists this ribosomal RNA (432 nucleotides) under uncultured bacterium. RNAcentral's name for it is "bacterial SSU rRNA". It matches the Rfam family "Bacterial small subunit ribosomal RNA", at positions 355 to 787 of the family's 1533-position model. The record is from RNAcentral.